Molecule: long non-coding RNA, 1968 nt
Filed under: Corvus moneduloides (New Caledonian crow)
Lineage: Eukaryota; Metazoa; Chordata; Aves; Passeriformes; Corvidae
Description: lncRNA (ENSCMUG00000019476.1)
Source: RNAcentral
AUGAAGUGGGAUAGUGGCAACAACCAGGAGAGGAGGAAGAAGGAUUCCUACUUCACAUGUGGGAUGGGUGCCACCAGGACACAUCCCUGCAGUUCCAGUCCCAGCACCCUCUCCGGAUUUACAAGUCCCUGGAGCGGAGCAGGGACAGCGGCCGAGAGCCCGGUGCUUUGCCAUCGCUGCUGUGGGCUGGAAUGAGAGGGGGCAGCUGCUGGAGGAUGCUGGAGUCAUUGUGCUGCCGGACAGGCUCUCAUCACGCACAGGAUAAAACCCCAGCUCCUGUGGCCGGGGCCCUGUGGGGUUUCACAGGGCAGCUCCUGCCAGCAAGGCCAGCCGAUGACUACAAGCCAAGUGGCUUCCCUGUCCUGGCAUUCCAGGGACACCUCUGGACCAUGGAUGUUUGCAAAAUGGCUUUUGUUUGCUUAACUCCUUGCACUGGAACAGGCAGAGGCACAGCUCCCACCGUCUUGUCCCUCCUCCACAGGCAGGGACAGGGUGACAAUCCUGCUGCCCAGGGCAGGCAGCUCAGUGCCAGCCCUGCCAUCCCACCCCUGGAAAAAAUAGCACCUUUUGAGUGCGUUAUUUGUACUUUCCUUUUCUGAAUGUGCCUUAAAAGAAGGGCUUAGUUUUCAAAGAAGCAGCAUUUAAAUUACAUUCUUCCCUGCUCGUCCAGCUCUUUGCUGUAAUCUUAUUGCUGUACGGAGCAACGAGCGUGCGUGGGACGUGGUGGGAUUUUAACUGUAAUUCAUGGACAGAUAUAAAAUGCCAGGGUUAUUAUGAAUUUUAUUCAGGAGAGUUUAAAUGUUACUGGUUCAGCAGUGCCUCUUUCCAUGCUUCCUUUGCAGCAGCUUCUGUUUAACCUCUCAGCUCACAAAAUUUAUUGUAUUGUUGGUGGCUCGCUGUAAUUCUCCAGGUUUUCAAAUAAUCCCAGGAAAAGGGUUAACUGAAGCCUCUGCCUUAGUCUACAUCCACUGCAAAGCAUGUGGGACCAAAGUUUUGUCUUUCCUGAACACCCCUGGUAAGUCCCUUGGGUUCAUCUGGAAACUGCCACUCUGAAUUUCAAAAUUAUGUCAGUGGGAAGUGGGUCAGUUGGCAGUGCAGGGACCAGGGAGCACCAAAACCUGGGUCCCAAUGUUGCAGUUAGCAUUUGGACAAGGCUCUUCACCCAGCUCACAUGGUUGUUCCAGGCUGAGCUGGACAUCACUGGACCCACAACAGGGCACAAGGUUUUAUUGGUACGAGUAACUAUUCCCCAGGCAGAUACAUCGUGGUGAAUGGCCUUGGGAUGGAAGGUCUGUGACGCAGCUUGUAGCUAGGUUUUGAUGGCCCAUGAUGAUCAUUGAUGACCAUUGCAGUGGGAUGCAGAGCACUUGCCAGACAUGGAUUCAGCCUGAUUCUCCUGGGAUUCAUCCAUUUUUUGUCACCUAACACAGACACAAUGGAGGUUUUUGCACACACACCCCCAUGAAGGCAACCCCUUUCCCAUCUUCACUUAUUUCUGAAAAGCCUUCAGAAAGCUUUUCUCACUGCCAUACCCUAAACCCUCCCUGCUGCUUCCAGAGCUCAUUCACCUUUCUCUGCUCCCUGUGGAGAUACUUUUCCCUUCCUUUGCAUCCCCUGCUGACAGCAGCGGCCCCCUCAGACCUUCCCCAGCAGAGCAAGGUGGAUGUUGAUGAAACCAAAGGGUUUUCUUUCAUCUAUUCCCACCUCUCCUCUUGGCUCUGCCUUGCUGCAAUCUCUCUGGACGUCGCAUCGCACACGUAGCACACCCAGCACCCGCCAGCCCUGCUCAUCCAUCUCACACACCUUAAUCAAUGGGAAAACUUGAGGAAAAGCCCGUAAACCAGAUGGGGAAGUGAGGAUUGGAUUUGCUAUGUGCUGGUACUAAUGGAAACCAUCCUUCACUGCAUAAUCAGGAGGAAUGGCCACACACAACCCAUCAUUUCUGCCCAGGUUUUCACAGGGCAGCCC